RNAcentral lists this unclassified non-coding RNA (271 nucleotides) under Veronaea japonica. RNAcentral describes it as "partial internal transcribed spacer region". The stretch from base 1 to 46 matches the Rfam family "Eukaryotic small subunit ribosomal RNA", at positions 1786 to 1831 of the family's 1831-position model. Lineage: Eukaryota; Fungi; Ascomycota; Eurotiomycetes; Chaetothyriales; Herpotrichiellaceae. The record is from RNAcentral.
AAGUCGUAACAAGGUUUCCGUAGGUGAACCUGCGGAAGGAUCAUUAACGAGUUAGGGUCUCCUAGGCCCGAUCUCCCAACCCUUUGUUUACCAAACCAUUUUGUUGCUUCGGCGAGCCCGUCUUCACGGACCGCCGGGGGACCUGCUCAAGGACCCCUGGCCCGCGCUCGUCGGUGGCCCAAACCUUUAAAUUCUUAACUAAACCUGUCAUGUCUAAGUACCAAUUUUUUAAUUAAAAGCAAAACUUUCAACAACGGAUCUCUUGGUUCUG